AUGGGGUACCACCGCCAUAGGCGCGGGCGUGGAUCCUCGUCGUCGUCCUCCUCCUCCUCUUCGCGCCGCACCAAGCAAGAAGCCUCGUGCGAUGAUGCUCCUGGGACAUCACUUCCAAGGCAGGAAGACAACGCCGAAGAGGAAUCUAAUAGCCCAAAAAUUCAGCUUGCAAUGUGGGACUUUGGGCAGUGCGAUGCUAAAAGAUGCACUGGUCGUAAGCUUUCAAGAUUUGGGCUGUUAAAGGAGUUGCGAGUUACUAAUGGUUUUGGUGGCGUUGUUCUCAGCCCUGUUGGGACACAUUGUGUGUCCAAGGAAGAUCAUCCUAUCGUGCAACGAAAAGGAUUGGCUGUGGUUGAUUGUUCUUGGGCACGUUUAGAUGAUGUCCCUUUUGUGAAACUCCGUUGUGGUGCUCCUCGUCUCUUGCCAUGGUUGGUAGCAGCAAACCCUGUGAAUUAUGGCCGGCCAUGUCAGCUUUCCUGUGUGGAAGCUUUGUCAGCAGCCCUCAUAAUAUGUGGGGAGGAAGAGACAGGAGAACUGCUGCUUGCGAAAUUCAAGUGGGGUCACUCAUUCUUAUCACUUAACAGGGAUCUGCUGAAAGCAUACUCCAAGUGCGAAAAUGGCACCGAGAUAAUCAACGUGCAGAACUCUUGGCUGUCAAGUGCAUCGAGUGUUUCAAAGUCACCUGUAAACGUGGCAGAUAAACCACACCGAAGCACAGAGGAAGGAUCAGAUUCUGAAUCUGACGAUGGCUUGCCCCCUCUGGAAGAGAACAUGAACCACUUGGACCUCAGCGAGGGCGAAGAAAGCGAAGAGGAAAGUGAAACUGAAAACGAAGGGAUUACCGACGCAAAAUGA
Molecule: ribosomal RNA, 855 nt
Filed under: Triticum aestivum (bread wheat)
Lineage: Eukaryota; Viridiplantae; Streptophyta; Magnoliopsida; Poales; Poaceae
Description: partial small subunit ribosomal RNA
Source: RNAcentral